UGGCUCAGUUGGUAGAGCAUGGUGUUUGCAACGCCAGGGUUGUGGGUUCGAUUCAUAC
Non-coding RNA from Salmo salar (Atlantic salmon), 58 nucleotides. Lineage: Eukaryota; Metazoa; Chordata; Actinopteri; Salmoniformes; Salmonidae. The record is from Rfam.